CCCAAGGUACAAUCAACACAAAAGUACCCCAUAGGGCUCAUUAUUGGACCUCAAGGUACAUGUAUGUACCUUUUUGAGGGUCAAAAAGGUACAUAUUUGUUCCCAAGCAUUAAAAGGUACAUAUUUGUACCAUUUCUUUUAAAGGAUAAGGUACCAUGUUAAGAGACCGCCUCUUGCCAUUUUUUUUUAUUUGUUGUUCUAGACAACUGCUGUAAAUCUGGUCAGUAACGUAAAUAACUAUUGUGUCAAUUUUUGUUUCCUUUAGUUGAAAACAUGGGUAUUGAAGUAGUAUUAGUUUUCUUCUGUUCAUUGACAGUGUGUUUAAUUUUAAAUUUAAAUUUUAAUGAAAAAAAGUUAAUUUCACUUAAUAAAAACUGUGAUAUGAACUCAAAAACUGCAAUUGAUUAACCAUUAUUUAAACUGAAUAAAUACUGAAUAACUGAAUCCCUCACACACACCGAAAAAAAACCUGCGCUUUUAUUUUGACACGCGCCCAUCCCCCCACAUCUCACGGUCGGAGUCAGUUUCACAGAGCAGCGCAGGAGGACGACAAACACAUAAAGAACAUUAACAGUUUAGUUUGAAUCUCUCUCAGUCAGUCAGGGGGAGAUUAACUGACAGACUGUAUAACGUUACACGUCUUACCAAGAAACCUUUUUAGGUUUGAAUCUCUCAGUCAGGGGGGAGAUUGACUGUCAAUCUGUACACUGUCUACUCGCCACCAAACAGUCAGUUACAC
Paramisgurnus dabryanus is the source of this 739-nucleotide long non-coding RNA. RefSeq lists it as uncharacterized. The record is from RefSeq and is a predicted model, not a curated record. NCBI's taxonomy places the organism in Eukaryota, Metazoa, Chordata, Actinopteri, Cypriniformes, Cobitidae.